RNAcentral lists this ribosomal RNA (253 nucleotides) under [Clostridium] colinum. RNAcentral's name for it is "partial 16S ribosomal RNA". It matches the Rfam family "Bacterial small subunit ribosomal RNA", at positions 524 to 776 of the family's 1533-position model. Lineage: Bacteria; Bacillati; Bacillota; Clostridia; Lachnospirales; Lachnospiraceae. The record is from RNAcentral.
UACGUAAGGGGCAAGCGUUAUCCGGAUUUACUGGGUGUAAAGGGUGAGUAGGCGGUUCGGCAAGUCAUAUGUGAAAUUCUGAGGCUUAACCUCAGCGCUGCAUAAGAAACUGUCGGACUAGAGUGCAGGAGAGGCAAGCGGAAUUCCUAGUGUAGCGGUGAAAUGCGUAGAUAUUAGGAAGAACACCGGUGGCGAAGGCGGCUUGCUGGACUGUAACUGACGCUGAGUCACGAAAGCGUGGGGAGCGAACAGG